RNAcentral lists this ribosomal RNA (465 nucleotides) under Vreelandella stevensii. RNAcentral's name for it is "partial 16S ribosomal RNA". It matches the Rfam family "Bacterial small subunit ribosomal RNA", at positions 338 to 795 of the family's 1533-position model. Lineage: Bacteria; Pseudomonadati; Pseudomonadota; Gammaproteobacteria; Oceanospirillales; Halomonadaceae. The record is from RNAcentral.
CCUACGGGGUGCAGCAGUGGGGAAUAUUGGACAAUGGGCGAAAGCCUGAUCCAGCCAUGCCGCGUGUGUGAAGAAGGCCUUCGGGUUGUAAAGCACUUUCAGUGGGGAAGAAAGCCUUGGGGCUAAUACCCUCGAGGAAGGACAUCACCCACAGAAGAAGCACCGGCUAACUCCGUGCCAGCAGCCGCGGUAAUACGGAGGGUGCGAGCGUUAAGCGGAAUUACUGGGCGUAAAGCGCGCGUAGGCGGUCUGAUAAGCCGGUUGUGAAAGCCCCGGGCUCAACCUGGGAACGGCAUCCGGAACUGGCAGGCUAGAGUGCAGGAGAGGAAGGUAGAAUUCCCGGUGUAGCGGUGAAAUGCGUAGAGAUCGGGAGGAAUACCAGUGGCGAAGGCGGCCUUCUGGACUGACACUGACGCUGAGGUGCGAAAGCGUGGGUAGCAAACAGGAUUAGAUACCCCAGUAGUC